UGGCGCACGGGUGAGUAAUACACGGGAAUCUACCCCUUUGUGAGGAAUACCUUGGAGAAAUCCAGGUUAAUACUGCAUAAGCCCGGAAACGGGGAAAGGUGGCCUCAAGCUACCGCAGAGGGAUGAGCCUGUGUCCUAUUAGCUAGUUGGUAGGGUAAGAGCCUACCAAGGCAGAGAUGGGUAACCGGCCUUAGAGGGUGUCCGGUCACACUGGAACUGAAACACGGUCCAGACUCCUACGGGAGGCAGCAGUGGGGAAUAUUGCACAAUGGGCGAAAGCCUGAUGCAGCGACGCCGCGUGGAGGAUGAAGGUUUUCGGAUUGUAAACUCCUGUUAAGUGGGAAGAAAGACUGAUACCUAAUACGUAUCGGGGAUGACGGUACCACUAGAGAAAGCACCGGCAAACUUCGUGCCAGCAGCCGCGGUAAUACGAAGGGUGCAAGCGUUAUUCGGAAUCACUGGGCGUAAAGAGCGUGAAGGCGGUUUCCUAAGUCAACUGUUAAAGAGCUCGGCUUAACUGAGCAAGUGCAGGUGAUACUGGGAGGCUCGAGUGCAGGAGAGAAAGGUAGAAUUCUCGGAGUAGCGGUAAAAUGCGUAGAUCUCGAGAGGAAUACCGGUUGCGAAGGCGGCCUUUUGGCCUGUUACUGACGCUAAGCGCGAAAGCGUGGGGAGCAAACAGGAUUAGAUACCCUGGUAGUCCACGCCGUAACGAUGAUCACUGGAUGUGGGUCCUGCUUAGCAGAUCUGUGUCGAAGCUAACGCGUUAAGUGAUCCGCCUGGGAAGUACGGUCGCAAGAUUAAAACUCAAGGAUUUGACGGGGUCCGCACAAGCGGUGGAACAUGUGGUUUAAUUCG
This 855-nucleotide ribosomal RNA is filed under the name uncultured bacterium. Its description in RNAcentral is "bacterial SSU rRNA". It matches the Rfam family "Bacterial small subunit ribosomal RNA", at positions 96 to 953 of the family's 1533-position model. The record is from RNAcentral.